This 1320-nucleotide long non-coding RNA is filed under the name Ananas comosus (pineapple). RNAcentral's name for it is "long non-coding RNA (ACOM_LNC033129)". The record is from RNAcentral. Lineage: Eukaryota; Viridiplantae; Streptophyta; Magnoliopsida; Poales; Bromeliaceae.
GACAACUGUAGUUAAAUAGUUAUUCAUAUAUCUAUACUACUUGUAAAAGAGAGUUUAAAGAAAAAAAAAAUUUCCAAAAUGCCACCACUCUUUAUUAAUGUAAUUCCAAUCACAUACUAACAACAUUAAUCAUUUAAUUUUUAUGGGUAUAAAUCACAGCCAUAUAAUUUUUUUAUUUUUAAAUUAUUAUAAAUAUAUUAACUUUUAGCUAUUGGAUCUAAUUCAAUGACAAGCGAAUUAAGUAUAUGUCAUUUUUUUACCUAAAUUGCUCUCAGUGCCUAUCAAAUCCCAUCUUUUAUACACGUAUGUAAUCUCAUAAUAACUGCUAUCUACAUAAUAUCUAUAUUUCACCUUAAUUAAUUCUUAUAAUUAUUUACACUAUACAUAAAACUAUACAGAAAUUCUUAUAAUGGAAAACGAAAUUAAAAAAAAUAAAAGAAUAUUUUAUACAAAUGGUUAUGAUUAAUUUAUUAAAAAAUAUCUCAAAUAAAAAUAAAUGGCUAUAAUCAAUUUAUUAAAAAAUAGAAUCUUAUAUAUCAAUAUAUCAAAUCUUAGAAUGGUUUGUAAACCCAACGACAACCCCGUUAAGACCCAACAUCCUCGUCAGUCCAAUUACACAUACAGCCCCAGAACACCAGGCAAUGUGAGACUCGUCUCGCUAGCCCGUCAUCCAGACCCUGGCUCAGCCGAGACUCGCCACACAUGUCCAACUGGUAAACCGGCUCUGAUACCAAAUGUAACGACCCAGCCCACUAGCAACAAUAACCCGUUGGGCCCAACCACCAGCCCAAAAUGCUUAAGCGUAGUUAUUAUUACUAGUGUCUAAGUCUCUUAUAAACCCAACGACAACCCCAUUCCCAUCCGAUGUGGGACUAUUAGGGUGUCACAUGGUUGUUAUUAAUUUUUUUAAUUUAUAAAUUUUAGAUAUCAAAUUUAAAUUAACAAUUAAAAUAUAUAAUUACGGUGAAUCAAAAUUAAAUUUUAAAUUUCAAAAUAAAUGUGAAUUAAAUGUUGACGCUUUUUAAUUUAAACAAUAUACUUAAAUUUUAAAUUUAUCAAAAUUUAAAAAAUAUAUAAAAAUAUUCAAUAUAUAUUGAAAAAAUAAUAAAGAAUGUUGCAACUAUUUUCUAAUAAAAUAUAACAUAUAUGUUAAAGAUAUGCCUUCUUUUUUAUUGAUUUGAUUCAUACACCGGAUUUAUGGAAAAAUAAAAAAGAUCUCAUAAGGAUUUAUUUUGGUGGAUCCUAAUUUAAAUUGGAAUCCUAGGUGGACUAGGAUUGGUUUUCAUAUAAUACUCUAUAUUCAAUAAUCAUAUUGAAUUA